GAUGAACGCUGGCGGCGUGCCUAAUACAUGCAAGUCGAACGAACAGACGAGGAGCUUGCUCCUUUGACGUUAGCGGCGGACGGGUGAGUAACACGUAGGUAACCUACCUAUAAUACGGGGAUAACUACGGAAAACCGGAUCUAAUACCGGAGAAUAUUUCGCACCGCGGGGGUCGAUAGUGAAAGAUGGCUUUGGUGUCAGUUAUAGCUGCACCUGCGCCGGAUGAGCUGGUGGGUAAGGUAAUGGCCUACCAAGGCAACGAUCCGUAGCCGACCUGAGAGGGUGAUUGGCGACACUGGAACUGAGACACGGUCCAGACUCCUACGGGAGGCAGCAGUAGGGAAUCUUGCGCAAUGGGCGCAAGCCUGACGCAGCAAGGCCGCGUGAGUGAUGAAGGCCUUCGGAUCGUAAAGCUCUGUUAUUAGGAAAGAACAAACGUGUAAGUAAAUGUGGACGUCUUGACGGUACCUAAUCAGAAAGCAACGGCUAACUACGUG
Molecule: ribosomal RNA, 497 nt
Filed under: uncultured bacterium
Lineage: Bacteria
Description: partial 16S ribosomal RNA
Rfam family: Bacterial small subunit ribosomal RNA
Source: RNAcentral